GUCACCCUCUCGUUGCGCACAGCAUACACGUGCGUGUCUGCUGUGCUCGACGCGCAGGAAGCGGAUUCUCAGCCGACGUCGACGGCUGCCUCAUCGGCAGCGCACGCUUCAUCGCACCGGACCGCAGCAGCCUCGACAGCUGGCUGUAUCAGCGGCUGAAACCUGAUGGUCACGAGCGCCAAAGCCGAGCCACCCAUGAAGAAGCCCAGGCUCGACCCAGAGAAGAGCGCAGCGGCGCCCUGCAAUUCUGAGGCAGCGACAACGGCAGCUGCCGCAGUCGACUUCGAUGUCAUUCCCACAAGCAAUGCCCUUCUGAGUGCGCGACUCCAAAGAGAACUGAAAUCCUUAUGGAGUGCGAGUGCUCCUGCCACAGCGGCGCCUUCAGACACCGGCGGGCCGUCGAUGGAUCACGGCACACCACCCAAGCCCGCUGAUGUGGCCUCCGUUGUGCCGUCCUUCAAGGUCGGCACGCUUGAGAUGUACCGCCGCUUCCCGGAGGCCUACGAUAUGCUCAUGGCCCACCACAACUGCACUGCCGUGCGCCACACACUGCUGAAGGACGUGCUGGGCCGCAUUGCUCGUACGGCAGGUGCAGCAGUCGUACCAGCGGAUGCUGCCGCGGACGCUGCGGGGCAGCGCACGCCGCCGUGGGUGCGCGUGGCAGACUUUGGGUGCGGCACAGGACGCAUCGAAAGCAUGGUGGCGCAGCACCCCGCCGUUCAGGCCAUCUACGCGUACGACAGCGAGGUGUCGAUGCUGCGGCGCUGUCUGGUAAACACUGUGCGGAGUGCUGCUCAGUCCGGGCACUACCGCUCCGUGAGUCUCCUACCCGUGGCCGCGUCGGCAGAGAAGAGAAGCGAAAUCAACGCUGCCAGCUCCCCCUCGCACGCGCUGCCGUCACCGCCUGCGUUGCUGUGCGGUGGGGACGAGAGCGAGGCGACGAAAUCGGCAGCAGCAGCAGCGUUACAGUUGUGCAUCCGUCCUGUACCGUUCCGGGCAAUUCAGGCAGGCUUUCUCACGCAGACACGACACCCCCGCUGCUCCCUCGUUGUUUGCGCGUGGUCUCUCUCCUACGUUAUGCGAAUGCAGUGGGGCGAGGAUCACUGGCACGCCGCCGUAGACACGGUUGUGCAGUCACUGCUGAACCUGCUCGACAACACGCGCUCGGAUGCGGCGGUGGUCAUACUAGAGACCCUGGGCAACGGCUCUGCAGAGCCGACGCGGCAGAGCACGUACACGCAGCGGCUGGAAGAGUGCUUCGGGUUCACACGGACGUGGGUGCGCACGGACUACGAGUUCAAGAGUAAGGCCGACGCGGAACGCAUGGUGCGCUUCUUCUUUGGCGAAAAGAUGCUGGCGAAGCUCACCUCAGAAAACGUUGGUAGUGGAGCAGGCGAGCAUGGCGCCACUGACGGCGCGGAGAGUGGUGGUGGUUGUCGCCUCAUGGAGUGCACAGGCAUUUGGACUUACUGGAAGGCGCGAGAGUCGCCAACGGAGCCGUUCAGGGAGUCACUGGAAUUGUCUCGCUCGUGGCUGGCACACAGACACACACAGACACACACGUAGCGCAGCUCUCCCCUGCCCCGUAUGAGAGCUCUCGAGUAACGCGUCUCUGGAGCACGUGCUAGCAAACGUUCGCACUCGCAACAGCCACACCUCGACGCGCACUAAACCCCCCUCUCACCGCCGCCUAUCCCGUUACCCCCCCCCCUUCACAAACUUCGCG
RNAcentral lists this unclassified non-coding RNA (1726 nucleotides) under Leishmania donovani. RNAcentral describes it as "gene:LdHU3.24.1110(CDS-product:hypothetical_prote in_conserved)". Lineage: Eukaryota; Euglenozoa; Kinetoplastea; Trypanosomatida; Trypanosomatidae. The record is from RNAcentral.